RNAcentral lists this ribosomal RNA (1380 nucleotides) under Triticum aestivum (bread wheat). Its description in RNAcentral is "partial small subunit ribosomal RNA". The record is from RNAcentral. Lineage: Eukaryota; Viridiplantae; Streptophyta; Magnoliopsida; Poales; Poaceae.
AUGGUAGCUCGUAGGAAAACACUGCAGAACUCCAAUGAUGACUAUCCAAAGAUAGUGGACUUCAUCAGUCGGUUUACGGUCCAUCAUAUCAAUGUGAACUUCUCUUGCAGAAAGCAUCGAGCCAAUAGAGCAGAUGUUCACAGUGGGAGCAUGUCUUCAAGGCUAGAUGCUAUUAGGAAUGUCUAUGGGGCUUCGGUUGUUCGUGAUCUGAUGAUGGAUGGUUUCAUCUCGAAUGCAAAUUAUGUGGCAAAAAAGACUACUAUGAUUCUUUUCAUAAAUGAUAGACUUGUAGACUGCACUUCUUUGAAAAGGGCUACUGAAUUUGUGUACUCUGCAAUACUGCCUCAAGCAUCCAAACCCUUCAUAUACUGUCCAUCAAUCUUCCACCAGAACACAUGGAUGUCAAUAUACAUCCAACCAAAACGGCGUCAAGUCUCACCUUGUACUCAUACUAUGGCACGUCUAUGGUCAAUGGUGUACAUUUGCUCCUUCCGUGUAGAUUGUUAUAAUCUUUGGCUCUUUGAAUGUUUAAACUUUAAAGUGCAGUAUAUUACAAAAAUCCAUCUGGGUUUCUACAUUUGGCCAAGCACAUCUUGUAGUUUAAUAGUUGAUGGAAGUGCUAGAGAAAAAUCUCAAAAGGUUCCUGUGAGCCAAAUGGUCAGAACAGAUCCACGCGAUCCAUCUGGAAGGUUGCACACCUAUUGGCAAGGUCAAUCUUCAAAUCUAGAAAAGAAAUCUGACCUUGUUUCGGUAAGAAAUAUUGUAAGAUCAAGAAGAAAUCCAAAAGAUGCUGGUGAUUUGUCCAGUCGCCAUGAGCUUCUUACAGAAAUAGAUUCUAACUUAUAUCCCGAAUUGCACACAUAUGUUGGAGUUGCCAAUGAAGUUUUAGCUUUGAUACAACACAAUACCCUCUUAUACCUUGUCAACGUGGUAAAUGUUCGAACACCACGACAGUUGGCGCCCAUCGUGGGGCGUGACGCGACACCGGUUGGAGUCACGUUCCGGACAAGACCCUUCACUCCCACUGGCGAGCGCAUCGCGCAUGACCUAGUCAGCAGGCUCGGUGCGGUGGUUCAGAACCUGCACACUCCCAUCGUGCCCAACGUCGACCCUGCUGCUGCCGCGACCGAGCUCGAGGAGGCACACGUGGCCUGCUCGACGGGGCCAAGGAGCUUGCCCCAGCCCGGCAACCCCUGCCCGCGCGGCGGGACCGGCCGGCCUUUGUGGGGCCGGUUGCGUGCCCUGCGGUCACCGACCGAUUGGGGCCUCGCGCACCCCAUGACGAGCAUGAUGCUUGCUACCGCAUCGAGCGGUUGGGGCGCUCCCUCAUAUAAACUCUAUGAUGAUGACUUAUGUGUUGAUUACUUGUGCUGGAAGUAG